CGGGGGAGGCUACCAUGCAGUCGAGCGGAACGAGUUAUCUGAACCUUCGGGGAACGAUAACGGCGUCGAGCGGCGGACGGGUGAGUAAUGCCUAGGAAAUUGCCCUGAUGUGGGGGAUAACCAUUGGAAACGAUGGCUAAUACCGCAUAAUGCCUACGGGCCAAAGAGGGGGACCUUCGGGCCUCUCGCGUCAGGAUAUGCCUAGGUGGGAUUAGCUAGUUGGUGAGGUAAUGGCUCACCAAGGCGACGAUCCCUAGCUGGUCUGAGAGGAUGAUCAGCCACACUGGAACUGAGACACGGUCCAGACUCCUACGGGAGGCAGCAGUGGGGAAUAUUGCACAAUGGGCGCAAGCCUGAUGCAGCCAUGCCGCGUGUGUGAAGAAGGCCUUCGGGUUGUAAAGCACUUUCAGUCGUGAGGAAGGUGGUGUAGUUAAUAGCUGCAUUAUUUGACGUUAGCGACAGAAGAAGCACCGGCUAACUCCGUGCCAGCAGCCGCGGUAAUACGGAGGGUGCGAGCGUUAAUCGGAAUUACUGGGCGUAAAGCGCAUGCAGGUGGUUUGUUAAGUCAGAUGUGAAAGCCCGGGGCUCAACCUCGGAAUAGCAUUUGAAACUGGCAGACUAGAGUACUGUAGAGGGGGGUAGAAUUUCAGGUGUAGCGGUGAAAUGCGUAGAGAUCUGAAGGAAUACCGGUGGCGAAGGCGGCCCCCUGGACAGAUACUGACACUCAGAUGCGAAAGCGUGGGGAGCAAACAGGAUUAGAUACCCUGGUAGUCCACGCCGUAAACGAUGUCUACUUGGAGGUUGUGGCCUUGAGCCGUGGCUUUCGGAGCUAACGCGUUAAGUAGACCGCCUGGGGAGUACGGUCGCAAGAUUAAAACUCAAAUGAAUUGACGGGGGCC
RNAcentral lists this ribosomal RNA (899 nucleotides) under Vibrio owensii. Its description in RNAcentral is "bacterial SSU rRNA". It matches the Rfam family "Bacterial small subunit ribosomal RNA", at positions 38 to 921 of the family's 1533-position model. The record is from RNAcentral. Lineage: Bacteria; Pseudomonadati; Pseudomonadota; Gammaproteobacteria; Vibrionales; Vibrionaceae.